This 442-nucleotide ribosomal RNA is filed under the name Alphaproteobacteria bacterium. RNAcentral's name for it is "bacterial SSU rRNA". It matches the Rfam family "Bacterial small subunit ribosomal RNA", at positions 1 to 479 of the family's 1533-position model. The record is from RNAcentral. Lineage: Bacteria; Pseudomonadati; Pseudomonadota; Alphaproteobacteria.
CAACUUGAGAGUUUGAUCCUGGCUCAGAACGAACGCUGGCGGCAGGCUUAACACAUGCAAGUCGAACGAGAAGCUACCUUCGGGUAGUGGAAAGUGGCAGACGGGUGAGUAACGCGUGGGAAUAUACCUAGAGGUACGGAACAACUCCGGGAAACUGGUGCUAAUACCGUAUACGCCCUUCGGGGGAAAGAUUUAUCGCCUUUAGAUUAGCCCGCGUUAGAUUAGCUUGUUGGUGAGGUAAUGGCUCACCAAGGCGACGAUCUAUAGCUGGUCUGAGAGGAUGAUCAGCCACACUGGGACUGAGACACGGCCCAGACUCCUACGGGAGGCAGCAGUGGGGAAUCUUGGACAAUGGGCGCAAGCCUGAUCCAGCCAUGCCGCGUGUGUGAUGAAGGCCCUAGGGUUGUAAAACACUUUCAGUGGGGAAGAUAAUGACGGUACC